RNAcentral lists this long non-coding RNA (4835 nucleotides) under Homo sapiens (human). RNAcentral's name for it is "HSALNT0177276". Lineage: Eukaryota; Metazoa; Chordata; Mammalia; Primates; Hominidae. The record is from RNAcentral.
UGCAUUCUAGGUAAGGAUGAUUUGGACCAGGUUGUACUUUGUUCCCAAAGAAUUCAAGGAAAACUUUGUUUGUUUGUUUAAUCUGCUUAACAUAGUAAAAUCUUUCUUUGCAAUAUCAUACAAAGUUGGCAUUACAUAUGCACUGUUGAAGAAAACAUAGUUAAUUUUUUUUUAAAGAAUGUACUCCAAAACCAUUUAAUUAGUAAAAAUGUUUAAUAAUGAUUUUUUUUUUUUUUUUUUUUGAGACGGAGUCUUGCUCUGUUGCCCAGGCUGGAGUGCAGUGGCCUGAUCUCUGCUUACUGCAAGCUCCACCUCCCAGGUUCAUGCCAUUCUCCUGCCUCAGCCUCCAGAGUAGCUGGGACUACAGGUGCCCACCACAACACCCGGAUAAUUUUUUGUAUUUUUAGUAGAGACAGGGUUUCACCGUGUGAGCCAGGAUGGUCUCAAUCUCCUGACCUCAUGAUCCACCUGCCUUGGCCUCCCAAAGUGCUGGGAUUACAGGCAUGAGCCACUGUUCCUGGCCCUUUGAGUACAUUUUCUAAGAAGUUGGUCAUGAGUUCAGAUGUCUGCCUCAAAGAGAUACUUGUGGUUUCCAUUAAAGAACCCACCUUCCCUUUCUACAGGAGUAUUUAUGGGAGAUAUGGGCCUGGAGGUUGGAAUCUAUCCUGGUUGUACUUUGCUCUACUGAAGUAAGGAGUAAACCUACAAAUACAUUCAUAUUGAAGUGUACAAAGGGGGCUCUACAAUAGGUAGGAAUUCUAUUUAGUUUUGUUGGGUAACAAAUCCUUUGAGAAGCAAAUAAUAGCUCACCUACAAAACUGGUGAUCUGUAUAAGUUGGGAUUUUUCAUGGAUCAGUUUUGCUUGGAUUGAACUAUAUAAUCACAAAUAUAUUUAUACCUAGAGAGACAGAAAGAGUGUCUGUUGAAACUGUAUCAUCUUAACGUGUCUAUAAAAGGCAAUACCUGGAAGGUGGUGGAUGCCACACAGGUUAAGCUGUCUUCCCUCUGGGAGGCAGGCUUCUGGGAACUACACAGGCAUAGAUGGUGUGGUUUUGCAGGAGUUUGGUUAGGUAACCUAGAAAAUAUUCAGUCGGGUUACAAGAGGCCCAGGAACCCACCAUUCCUCCUUGGGUUUGGGGACAGGAGGACGUUGGUUCCCCUGGGGAAGGACUGUUGAGUUAACAACAUGUGGGGUAGGGCCUCCCUAGCAGCUCUGGUGCAGAGGUCACAAAACCAGGCCCAGAGGUGGGGCACAGGAGCCAAUGUCAGCUUUCAUGUUGAUAUGGAAAGGGGGCAGGGGAGUGCUGGGUAGAGAAGGGUGGGGACCCUAGCGAGGGCUCUGCCCUCGGGCUUGUGCCCUUGGACCUUAGUGAGAACAGGCACUCCUGUUUUCAUGUCCAAAUGUUGCAUUUUCCAAGACUACUCUGGCCUGCUGUGAGCCCCAUUCUGUGUCCAUAAAAAACCCAAGACCCUAGUGGGCACAGACACAAGUGGCUGGACGUCGAGAGGAGCAGAGAAGCAGAAGAGCACACCGACAGACAUCAGCAGAUGCUGGCAGGCUUUUGACAGUGGGGAGAUGUGGAAUUCAGUUGGGGGUGGUCGGUGGAGAGUCUGGCUACUGUUUCAAUGUCUGGGUCAGAAACCUUGGUCUGGGAUGGCCCACUGAAUGGUUUGGAGAGCUCUUUCCUCUUCAGGAAGCACUAAGGUAUUGGCCAGGAGCCAAGAAGUCCUGAAGCACCUUUAUAAACCAGGAAAAAAAAAUUGGGGUGAGUAUCCCCUGGACGUGUGGAUGCCCAUCCUGAGGGAGGCUUUCAUUUGCUCAUCUCCCACUAGUGAGGCCAUGUCUUAUUGGGAUGAGAGGGUGCAGUUUCAUUUCAAGAAAUCACUCGUGGCUCUGUCUUGGUGCUGGAGAGGAAAGACAGGCAGGGUGCCCUGUGCAGAGAGGUGAUGGUGGGGCUCUGCUGUGGGUUGAAUGGUGUCCUUUCAAAUUCACAUUCAUCAAUGUGGGGAAAAGAAAGAGAGAUCAGAUUGUUACUGUGUCUGUGUAGAAAGUAGAAAUAAGAGACUCCGUUUAGUUCUGUACUAAGAAAAAUUCUUCUGCCUUGAAAUGCUGUUAAUCUGUAACCCUACCCCCAACCCUGUGCUCCCUGAGACAUGUGCUGUGUCAACUCAGGGUUAAAUGGAUUAAGGGCUGUGCAGGGUGUGCUUUGUUAAACAAAUGCUUGAAGGCAGCAGCUUGUUCAGAGUCAUCACCACUCCCUACUCUCAAGUACCCAGAGACACAAAACUGCUGAAGGCUGCAGGAACCUCUGCCUAGGAAAGCCGGGUAUUGUCCAAGAUUUCUCCCCAUGUGAUAGCCUGAGAUAUGGCCUCCUGGGAAGGGAAAGACCUGACUGUCCCCCAGCCCGACACCCGUAAACGGUCUGUGCUGAGGAUUAGUGAAAGAGGAAGGCCUCUUUGCAGUUGAGAUAAGAGGAAGGCAUCUGUCUCCUGCUUGUCCCUGGGCAAUGGAAUGUCUCGGUGUCAAGCCCGAUUGUAUAUUCCAUCUACUGAGAUAAGGGAAAACCACCUUAGGGCUGGAGGUGGGACAUGCUGGCAGCAAUACUGCUCUUUAAUGGAUUAAGAUGUUUAUGUGUAUGCACAUCAAAAGCACAGCACUUAAUUCUUUACCUUGUUUAUGAUGCAGAGUCCUUUGUUCACGUGUUUUCCUACUGACCUUCUCUCCACUAUUACCCUAUUGUCCUGCCAAGUCCCCCUCUCUGGGAAACAUCCGAUAAUGAUCAAGAAAUACUAAGGGAACUCAGAGGCUGGUGCUGGCACAGGUCCUCCGUAUGCUGAACGGUGGUCCCCUGGGCCCUAUUUUCUUUCUGUAUACUUUGUCUCUGUGUCUCUUUCUUUUCCAAGUCUCUCGUUCCACCUGACGAAAAAUGCCCACAGGUGUGGAGUGGCAACCCACCCCUUCAAUCAGGAACCUCAGAAUGUGACAUUUGGAAAUAGCGUGGUUGCAGAUGUAACGAAUUAACUUGGCGACAUACUGGAGUAAGGUGGGCCCUUAACACCCUAUGACUGGAAUCCUUAUAAGAAGAAAAGAAGAGACACAGAGGGAAGACAGCUGCGUGCAGCUGGAAUGAUGCACCUGAAGCCAAGGGAUGCUGCGCAUUGCCAGCCACCACCCAAAACUGGAAAAGGCCAGGAAGGAUUCUUCCCUAGAACCUUCAAAGGCAGCACAGCCCUGCCAACAACUGCAUUCAGACUCUGGCCUCCAGAACUGUGAGAGGAUGAAUUUCUGUCGUUUUCAGCCACCCAAGCUUAGGAAAUGGGUUGCAGCAGACUCGGAAUAAGACAGGCAGCCAGUCAGCCUCCGUGGAAUUCCCAGGCAGCUUGCAGGAGCCACAGUGGGCCCUGGGCUCUGAGAAGGUCUGAGGCCCAGCAGGCGCAGGGGCCUAAACUAUUUCUCUGCAAGGAGGAAGGAAGGUUCAUCCAGAACGUAGAUCCCCUUCCUCCUUCUCACACCUCACAAGGUCACAGCGAGGUGGCUGGGAGGACAGCCAGGGACUUUUCACUGAGAUGUGUGGGAGACAGCUUGGUAGCCCUUGGCCUCUGAAGGGAGGAGGUGGCAUGAAGAAGGGCAGCUUCUGAAAUUCCCAGUUCCUGCUUGAUGACCUGUGUGUAAAGUAUUCCUGUUUAGGUCUCAAAAUCCUCUCAGAAAUAUAAUUCUCAGAAAAUCCAGGCACCCAAUCCAGCUCCCUGGCCUUCCUGAAAUCUGAAGUCAAAGGGGCUGAGCCAGCCUGCCCUGGGUGUCAGGCCUCUGAGCCCAAGCUAAGCCAUCAUAUCCCCUGUGACCCGCACAUACACAUCCAGAUGGCUGGUUCCUGCCUUAAGUGAUGACAUUCCACCACAAAAGAAGUGAAAAUGGCCUGUUCCUGCCUUAACUGAUGACAUUGUCUUGUGAAAUUCCUUCUCCUGGCUCAUCCUGGCUCAAAACCUCCCCCACUGAGUACCUUGUGACCCCCACUCUGCCCACCAGAGAACAACUCCCCCUUUGACUGUAAUUUUCCUUUACCUACCCAAAUCCUAUAAAACAGCCCCACCCCAUCUCCCUUCACUGACUCUCUUUUCAGACUCAGCCCCCCUGCACCCAGGUGAAAUAAACAGCCAUGUUGCUCACAUAAAGCCUGUUUGGUGGUCUCUUCACACGGAUGCGCAUGAAAUUUGGUGCAGUGACUGGGAUCGGGGGACCUCCCUUGGGAGAUCAAUCCCAUGUCCUCCAGUUCUUUGCUCUGUGAAAAAGAUCCACCUACAACCUCAGGUCCUCAGACCCACCAGCUCAAGGAACAUCUCACCAAUUUUAAAUUGGGCAAGCAGCCUCUUCUUACUCUCUUCUCCAACCUCUCUCACUGUCCCUCAACCACUUUCUCCUUUCCACUCUUCAAUCUCUCCCUUCUCUUAAUUUCAAUUCCUUUCAUUUUCUGGUAGAGACAAAGGAGACACAUUUUAUCUGUGGACCCAAAACUCCAGUGCAGGUCACGGACUGGGAAGGCAGCCUUCCCUUGGUGUUUAAUCAUUGCAGGGAAGCCUCUCUGAUUAUUCACCCACGUUUCAAAGGUGUCAGACCAUGCAGGGACACCUGCCUUGGUCCUUCACCCUUAGCGGCAAGUCCUGCUUUUCUGUGGGAGGGGAAAGUACCCCAACCACUUUUCUCCAUGUCUCUACCCCUUCUCCACCUUUCUGGGGGACAAGAAACCCCCAACCCCUUUUCCUUCACCCUUAGUGGCAAGACCCACUUUUCUUGGGGAGGGGCAAGUACCACAUCUUAUCUCUGCACCCGAAUCCCU